This 477-nucleotide ribosomal RNA is filed under the name uncultured anaerobic ammonium-oxidizing bacterium. Its description in RNAcentral is "bacterial SSU rRNA". It matches the Rfam family "Bacterial small subunit ribosomal RNA", at positions 365 to 832 of the family's 1533-position model. The record is from RNAcentral.
UUCGCAAUGCCCGAAAGGGUGACGAAGCGACGCCGCGUGUGGGAUGAAGGCCUUCGGGUUGUAAACCACUGUCGGGAGUUAAGAAUUGUAGGAAUGCUAAUAGUGUUUCUACUUGACUAAGGCUCCGGAGGAAGCCACGGCCAACUCUGUGCCAGCAGCCGCGGUAAUACAGAGGCGGCAAGCGUUGUUCGGAAUUAUUGGGCGUAAAGAGCAUGUAGGCGGCUAUGUAAGUCGGUUGUGAAAGCCUUCCGCUUAACGGAAGAAUGGCGGUCGAAACUGCAUGGCUUGAGUGCGGGAGGGGAGAGUGGAACUUCUGGUGGAGCGGUGAAAUGCGUAGAUAUCAGAAGGAACGUCGGCGGCGAAAGCGACUCUCUAGACCGUAACUGACGCUGAGUGUGCGAAAGCUAGGGGAGCAAACGGGAUUAGAUACCCCGGUAGUCCUAGCCGUAAACGAUGGGCACUAAGUAGAGGGGUUUU